CAAGGUUACACAGCUAGGGAGUGUCUAAUAAAUGCUACUUUCCUUCAGUUCUUUUUAGGCUAUUGACUCCCGUGGGCAGAAAAUGAGACUGGUCCCUAAAGCUCUGCUCUGAACAUGAGAUCAAGUGUCCCUAAUCUGUUUCCUCAUUCCUCUGCUUAUAAACGUGCACUUUUGCUUGGCAGGUACAAUUGUAGGUAGUUUAUAGGAUUUUGUAAAAGCAAAAUUCCUUUUAACAUUUUAGGUUGUUGAGAUAAGAGUAUGCUUGUUUUCAUUUUUCAGUAAUUUGCAGCCAUUGGUGCUUUCCUUCAGCUGGGACUCUGCAUAAGAAUGGCCCAGAAAAGGGACAAUGACUGAGCAGCAGUCUUCUUGGGUGGAAUGUAUGAUCCAGGGCUUUUCUGGAAAGUGAGCCGAGCCUGCUCCAGCUUGCCAGGGAUGGUAAGCAGUUAUUAUUAUUAUUUUUUAAUGGCCACACCUGGAGCAUAUGGAAGUUCCCAGGCCAGAGAUUGAAUCUGAGCUGCAGCCACAAUCUAGGCCAAUGGAGGGAUCCUUUAACGCACUACACCCAGGAGGGGAUCUAAUGAGUGCCUCAGCAGCUGCUGUAAUCAGGUGCUUAAUCCACUGCACUGCAGUGGGAACUCCUGGAGCCAGUUCUUUUUUUAAUGGUUAUCUCUAAACUGCAAAGACAAAACAAACUGCUUAAACAUUAGCUAGCAGUGCCUUUGUCCCUCCUGCUCACCUCUCCAGCCCCCUCUUCUCCACUCCAAGGUCCAGUCUAGGCUCAGCCUAGGGGGACGGUGGAAAUGAGCGGUGGGAGAGCGCGAGGCCUCCCUGAAAGCUCUCUAGGCUCAGGUCCCCUCUACGCCGCCCUCCCACGCCCGCUAGGCUUCAGGGGUCACUGAGGCUGCUGUGGAACCCGGGCCCAGCCCCUCGCUUUAUUAAAGUCUCUCUAAAUUGCCCACUUUGCAGGGGACAGCUGGUUUCUGCCUCUUACACCACUGAUGUGCACAAGGGAUAUUUCAGACCCUCUCCUCUUAUCCAGGUCUCACUCCCACAGCAUCCAGUCAAAAUGACCUCCACCUGGGCCUCCCUCCAUUCGAAGGGGUCCAGCGCCCGGGAGAUCCCAGCUCAUUGUAUUUAAAGGAACUGAUGGGCCUCGAGUCUGGAAGCCUGAAUACAUCCCGGGAGGAGGUCCCGCGGGAAACUGACAGAUGAAUAUUCCAAGCCCAGGCCUUCCAAAGUGUUCGAGAGGCACCCAGCUAGGUCCGCUGUCCCCGGGGUCUGACUGAGACGUCCUCUUUGUCAGCGCCUCUGCUACAGGCAGCAGCGCGCCCAAGACCUUCGGGAGUUCCUGGCUGAGAAUUAACCCCACCUCCUCCCACCAGCUCCACCAAUAGGAGGGCAGGGGUGACACCUCCCCUGCAUCAGCCACCAAUGAGCAGCCCGGAUCCUGUGCCCGGCCUUAAAAACGCCGGGAGGUGGGGCACCUUUAGGAGAUGCUGUCCUUUUUGUCCUGCCUUGCUCCUGGGAUGCUGACCGCCGGCCUGUCAGCUUUCGGAGAAACAGGAAACGCUCGCAGGCUGGUCCACCCUUGGCACUCUUGGUUAUUUCCAGGUCCAGAAAGCAAUGUAAAACUCAUCCUGUUACGGUAAUAUGAGUCAGCUGAAUCCUGUUGGGGCUUCUUCCCCAGGUGCACACAUGUACGGUUGGGGGAUGGGGCAGGGAUUGGCGAGCAAAGGAUCCUAGACUCUGCAAGCGGGAGGUUGGUGAGCUUCUGACCGACUCUCUCGAUCAUUCUAAUUUCACAGACAAGGAAGGGGCGCGAUUUGCAAUCUCACCCCUGGCAGCACUAUUGCAUCCAACCCUGCUCUCUAAUGGCAGUGAGCUAUUUUCUAAGAAGUUUUUCUAACCCCCUGACCAAAGGCCUAGAAGCUCAGGUCAAAGACGCUUUGUUAAAAACUGGUUGUUCAGAACCUGAGGAGGGAUGAUCCUGGCAUAUUGAUGAAAGUGCCGCCUCCAAAAGCCCUUUCUGAUGAGUCCUAUUGGAGUGUUUGUUCCCUUUUCUGAAAUCCUGUUUCUAGGGAUCCCCCAAAGUAGCCUGUAAACGUUAUCAUUCACCUAUAUCAAUCCACAUUUCCUGUGUAAUGUCACUGCUCUUCUUGUGCACAGUACACAGAUGCCAGGCACCUUUUCCAUUCCCCCUCCUACCCAACCUGAGGGUGUGUGUUGAACUUGGAUGGAUAGUCAUCCUAGGACAGAAGCCCAGAAGUCCAAGGACUGGGAUUGAAGAAGGUCUGAGUGCUGAUGCCGCGGCCAUCCAAGCUGGGACAAAGCUUUCCGCAGCCCAGUCAGGGAUGGGGGGUGGGGGAGGGAUGGGGGGAGUGGUGCCAGAUGGGACUGUUUUCUGAGGCAGGGCAGAUAAGACUUCUUUUUUCCCCACUACCCUGCAACUACUACUAAUGGUGGUAUUAUUAAGAGCUUACCAUGGAGCAUGUGUUUUAAUUACUUCUCUCAACCCUAAUGGGUGGAAACUAUCAAAAUUCCCAAUUUAAAGAUGAGAAAACUGAGGCACAGAGGAGUGCCUGACAUGGUUCAGCAGAAACAAGUCUGACUAGCACCCAUGAGAAUGCAGGUUUGAUCCCUGGUCUUGCUCAGUGGGUUAAGGAUCUGGCAUUGCCAUGAGCUGUGGUGUAGGUCACAGAUGUGGCUCGGAUCUGGCGUUGCUGUGGCUGUAGUGUAGGCCAGCAGCUACAGCUCUGAUUCGACUCCUAGCCUGGGAACCUCCACAUGCUGAGGAUGUGGCCCAAAAAAGC
This 2810-nucleotide long non-coding RNA is filed under the name Sus scrofa (pig). RNAcentral describes it as "lncRNA (ENSSSCG00000052071.1)". The record is from RNAcentral. Lineage: Eukaryota; Metazoa; Chordata; Mammalia; Artiodactyla; Suidae.